This 377-nucleotide ribosomal RNA is filed under the name uncultured bacterium. RNAcentral describes it as "bacterial SSU rRNA". It matches the Rfam family "Bacterial small subunit ribosomal RNA", at positions 521 to 896 of the family's 1533-position model. The record is from RNAcentral.
UAAUACGUAGGGACCGAGCGUUGUCCGGAUUCAUUGGGCGUAAAGAGCUCGUAGGCGGCCACUCAAGUCGAAUGUGAAACCUCGAGGCUUAACCUCGAGCCUGCAUUCGAUACUGGGCGGCUAGAGUCUGGUAGGGGGAUCUGGAAUUCCUGGUGUAGCGGUGGAAUGCGCAGAUAUCAGGAGGAACACCGGUGGCGAAGGCGGGAUCCUGGGCCAGUACUGACGCUGAGGAGCGAAAGCGUGGGGAGCAAACAGGAUUAGAUACCCCGGUAGUCCUAGCCGUAAACGAUGGACACUAGGUGUUGGUGGUAUCAACCCCGCCAGUGCCGAAGCUAACGCAUUAAGUGUCCCGCCUGGGGAGUACGGCCGCAAGGCUA